Molecule: transfer RNA, 64 nt
Filed under: Diploderma splendidum
Lineage: Eukaryota; Metazoa; Chordata; Lepidosauria; Squamata; Agamidae
Description: tRNA-Met
Source: RNAcentral
UCAGGGUCUGCUACAUAAAGCAAUUGGGCCCAUACCCCAAAAACGGUAAUAUUCACCCCCUGAC